This 371-nucleotide ribosomal RNA is filed under the name uncultured organism. RNAcentral's name for it is "partial 16S ribosomal RNA". It matches the Rfam family "Bacterial small subunit ribosomal RNA", at positions 527 to 896 of the family's 1533-position model. The record is from RNAcentral.
GUAGGUGGCAAGCGUUGUCCGGAAUUAUUGGGCGUAAAGCGCGCGCAGGCGGUUCUUUAAGUCUGAUGUGAAAGCCCACGGGCUCAACCGUGGAGGGUCAUUGGAAACUGGAGAACUGAGUACAGAAGAGGAAAGCGGAAUUCCACGUGUAGCGGUGAAAUGCGAAGAGAUGUGGAGGAACACCAGUGGCGAAGGCGGCUUUCUGGUCUGUAACUGACGCUGAGGCGCGAAAGCGUGGGGAGCAAACAGGAUUAGAUACCCUGGUAGUCCACGCCGUAAACGAUGAGUGCUAAGUGUUAGGGGGUUUCCGCCCCUUAGUGCUGCAGCUAACGCAUUAAGCACUCCGCCUGGGGAGUACGGCCGCAAGGCUG